GGGGAUGUAGUUCAGUGAUAGAAUGCCUGCCUAGGGAGCAUGACACCUUGAGUUCAAGUCCCCAGCACCA
This 70-nucleotide transfer RNA is filed under the name Mus musculus (house mouse). RNAcentral's name for it is "tRNA-Pro". Lineage: Eukaryota; Metazoa; Chordata; Mammalia; Rodentia; Muridae. The record is from RNAcentral.